UACAGAGGGUGCAAGCGUUAAUCGGAUUUACUGGGCGUAAAGCGUGCGUAGGCGGCCUGAUAAGUCGGAUGUGAAAUCCCUGGGCUCAACCUGGGAACUGCAUUCGAUACUGUCUGGCUAGAAUUCGGUAGAGGGCGGCGGAACUCCGGGUGUAGCGGUGAAAUGCGUAGAUAUCCGGAAGGACACCGAUGGCGAAGGCAACCACCUAGGCCUGAAUUGACGCUGAGGCACGAAAGCGUGGGGAGCAAACAGG
RNAcentral lists this ribosomal RNA (253 nucleotides) under uncultured bacterium. RNAcentral's name for it is "partial 16S ribosomal RNA". It matches the Rfam family "Bacterial small subunit ribosomal RNA", at positions 524 to 776 of the family's 1533-position model. The record is from RNAcentral.